AUUGAACGCUGGCGGCAUGCCUUACACAUGCAAGUCGAACGGUAACAGGUCUUCGGAUGCUGACGAGUGGCGAACGGGUGAGUAAUACAUCGGAACGUGCCCGAUCGUGGGGGAUAACGAGGCGAAAGCUUUGCUAAUACCGCAUACGAUCUACGGAUGAAAGCGGGGGAUCUUCGGACCGCGCGCGGACGGAGCGGCCGAUGGCAGAUUAGGUAGUUGGUGGGAUAAAAGCUUACCAAGCCGACGAUCUGUAGCUGGUCUGAGAGGAUGAUCAGCCACACUGGGACUGAGACACGGCCCAGACUCCUACGGGAGGCAGCAGUGGGGAAUUUUGGACAAUGGGCGAAAGCCUGAUCCAGCCAUGCCGCGUGCAGGAUGAAGGCCUUUGGGUUGUAAACUGCUUUUGUACGGAACGAAAAGCCUCUUUCUAAUAAAGAGGGGUCUUGACGGUACCGUAAGAAUAAGCACCGGCUAACUACGUG
Molecule: ribosomal RNA, 482 nt
Filed under: uncultured bacterium
Lineage: Bacteria
Description: partial 16S ribosomal RNA
Rfam family: Bacterial small subunit ribosomal RNA
Source: RNAcentral